CUUACGCUAAUAGAUGGAUAGCUUGGUUUGGACUGUGAUGAAGGACGUGGCAAGCUGCGAUAAGCUCGGGCUAUUUGCAUGCAAAAUUUGAACCCGAGAUUUCCUAAUACGAUAACGUAUUCUUCGGAAUAUGCCGAGAGGCAAAUACACGCCGGGAAUUGAAACAUCUUAGUACCGGCAGGAAGAGAAAACAAUUGUGAUUUCCUUAGUAGUGGCGAACGAAACGGAAUCAGGGCAAACUGAAUCUGCUUUUGAAAAGAAGUUAGAGAUGUGGUGGAGAUAAGUGACUAAGUCAUUGAGUUGAAAUUUUCUGGAAAGAAAUACCUUAGAGGGUGAUAGUCCCGUAAACUAAAAUGAUAUGUUGCUCUUCAAAAGAGUAGGGCCUCCUGGAUUGGAGGUCUGAAUGUGGCUGGAUUAACAGCUAACCCUAAAUAUAAGUCCAAGUCCGAUAGUGAACUCAGUACCGCGAGGGAAAGCUGAAAAGUACUCUUAAUAGAGGGUUAAAAGAUUUGAAAUCUAUUAGUUACAUAUGGUUACGGCUUCUUAGGGAGUUGUAACGUACGUUUGGAAAAAUGGGCCAAGGAGUUCUUCAAAGUGGCGAGGUUAAUUUGAAGCCAUAGCGAAAGCGAGUAUGAAAAUGCGUUAGUCACUGGGGAGAGACCCGAAGCUAGAUGAUCUAUUCGUGAGCAGGCUGAAGUUUUUCGAAAGAAGAAUGGAGGGCCGAACCGUUGUUGUGUACAUGCACUCGGAUGACUUGCGAAUAGGGGUGAAAAGCCAAUCUAAUCUAGCGAUGGCUGGUUCCUGUUGAAAUAUGCCGCAGUAUAGUCUUGUAUAGUUUGUUAACGAGGUAAAGUACGGAUAGAGUUUGCAGGAUCGAAAGAUUACGGAACUUCUUCCAACUCCGAACUUGUUAACUGCUUAAUACAGGAAUGGGGGGCAGUGCGUAAGGUGCUGUUCCGAGACCCGAACAAGGGAGACUAGAGUUAAGGUCCCAAAAUAUAUGCUAAGUGUAACGAAAGGUGUCUUGAACCUGAGACAGUGGGGAUGUAGGCCCAGAAGCAGCCAUCAUUUAAAGAAAGCGUAACAGCUCACCUAUUGAGGUUCGAGGCCCUGAAAAUGGACGGGGCUAAGCAUAUUACCGAUACUUUAGAGGCACUCAUUUGAGUGUUCUGGUAAGCAGGCGUGGAUUCUGCGCAGAAGUGUUUCCGGGAGGAAGCGUGGAGCGGGAUCUAACGAGAAUCUUGGCGUUAGUAAGAUCAGAUCAACCUGAGAAUGGUUGGCGUCGCAAGAGUAAGGUUUCCUUGGCAAUAUCGUUUAACCAAGGGUUAGUCGGCACCUAAGUCAUACCUUAACUGGCUAUGACGAAUGGACAUCCGGUUAAUAUUCCGGAACUAAUUAAGUUUGUUAUGUGUAUAAAUUGCUUUUGGAUAGGUGGGAGUUCGAAAGGACUUUUAAGUAAGAAAAAUGUGGAUUGUAAUGAUGAGAAGUGUUUGAAUUGCUUGACGAAAACCAUUGAAUCCGGGGGCCCGUGAAAAGUUUAUACAAUAGAAUUUAAUUAGCCGUACCCAGAAUCGACACUGAUACUCUGGUUUAGAAGACUAAGACGUGAAAGGGAAAACUGGUUAAGGGAAUUCGGCAAUUUGGCCCCGUAUCUUCGGUAUAAGGGGUGUCUAUGAAUGUCUUUGAUAUGUAGAAGGCGUUUGUAGAUCUCAGUAACAAGGACUGCCCGACUGUUUAUCAAAAACAUAGCCGGUUGCAAAUCGGAAACGAUUAGUAUAACCGGUGAGAUCUGCCCAGUGGCGGUGUUUAAAACCUGGGUUCAACCGGGCUAAGACCCGCUAAACGGCGGGCCUAACUAUGAGGCUCUUAAGGUAGCGUAAUGCCUUGUCGUUUGAAUGACGACGUGCAUGAAUGGUUUAACGAGGUGGUCGCUGUCCCUAACCAGGUCCUUCUGAACUCACUUACCGGUGAAAAUGCCGGUGUCGCCUAGUGGGAAGCGGAGACCUUGUGGACCUUUACUGCAACUUGUUGUUGUGAUUUUAAGAAUGGUGCAUAGCAUAGGUAGGAGCGUAGAUGUCUAGCUCUGGCGAAGACGGAGUGACCUUGUAAUACUACCCAUUGUUCUUGAGAUUGCUUACCCGAAAGGGGACACCAGCAGGCGGGCAGUUUGGCUGGGGCGGCACCCUGCAGAAAAGAUAUCUGUAGGGCCCAAUGGUAAACUCAUCCAGGUUGGAAAUCUGGAGUGGAGUGCGAGGGCAAAAGUUUACCUAACUGUACUUCGAAAAGCAAGAUGUGCAGAGAUGAAAGUCGGGCCUAGCGACCCCACGUAGCCUCUUAGUAGGGCUCGUGUGUGACAGAAAAGGUACCCCAAGGAUAACAGGCUUGUCGCGCCCGAUAGUCCAUAUUGACGGCGCGGUUUGGUACAUCGCUGUCGGCUCUUCCUAUCCUGGUUGUGCAGAAGCAACCAAGGGUGUCGGAGUUCACGCAUUAAAAGGGAUCGUUAGCUGGGUUAAGAACGUCGUGAGACAGUUUGUAUGAUAUCUACUAGGCGCGUUGUUGUCUGAGUGUAACGAAUAUCUAGUACGAGAGGAACGGUAUUUGGAUGCCUCUGGUCAGCAGUUGUUAUGAGCAGGCUGCACAGCUACGCAUUAAUGGAUAAGUGCUGAAAGCAUCUAAGCACGAAGCCAACCGCAACGUUGAUAGAGCUAGUGUGUAAGAUUCGAGUCAACGAGAAUUUAAGCACGUAGCUACUAAAAGCCACAAUCAAAAUAAGAUGAAAAAACCGGUGUCUGCCUACUUGUUUUUUUGAUUUAAUUCU
RNAcentral lists this ribosomal RNA (2818 nucleotides) under hydrothermal vent metagenome. RNAcentral describes it as "bacterial LSU rRNA". It matches the Rfam family "Archaeal large subunit ribosomal RNA". The record is from RNAcentral.